UACGUAGGGUGCGAGCGUUGUCCGGAAUUAUUGGGCGUAAAGGGCUCGUAGGCGGUUUGUCGCGUCGGGAGUGAAAACCUUGGGCUUAACUCAGGGCUUGCUUUCGAUACGGGCAGACUAGAGGUAUGCAGGGGAGAGCGGAAUUCCUGGUGCAGCGGUGAAAUGCGCAGAUAUCAGGAGGAACACCGGUGGCGAAGGCGGUUCUCUGGGCAUGAUCUGACGCUGAGGAGCGAAAGUGUGGGGAGCGAACAGG
Molecule: ribosomal RNA, 253 nt
Filed under: uncultured bacterium
Lineage: Bacteria
Description: partial 16S ribosomal RNA
Rfam family: Bacterial small subunit ribosomal RNA
Source: RNAcentral